AGUGAACGCUGGCGGUAGGCCUAACACAUGCAAGUCGAACGGCAGCACAGUAAGAGCUUGCUCUUACGGGUGGCGAGUGGCGGACGGGUGAGGAAUACAUCGGAAUCUACUUUUUCGUGGGGGAUAACGUAGGGAAACUUACGCUAAUACCGCAUACGACCUACGGGUGAAAGCAGGGGAUCUUCGGACCUUGCGCGAUUGAAUGAGCCGAUGUCGGAUUAGCUAGUUGGCGGGGUAAAGGCCAACCAAGGCGACGAUCCGUAGCUGGUCUGAGAGGAUGAUCAGCCACACGGGAACUGGGACACGGUCCAGACUCCUACGGGAGGCAGCAGUGGGGAAUAUUGGCCAAUGGGCGCAAGCCUGAUCCAGCCAUACCGCGUGGGUGAAGAAGGCCUUCGGGUUGUAAAGCCCUUUUGUUGGGAAAGAAAAGCAGCAGGUUAAUACCCCGCUGUUCGGACGGUACCCAAAGAAUAAACACCGGCUAACUGCGU
RNAcentral lists this ribosomal RNA (491 nucleotides) under uncultured bacterium. Its description in RNAcentral is "partial 16S ribosomal RNA". It matches the Rfam family "Bacterial small subunit ribosomal RNA", at positions 29 to 506 of the family's 1533-position model. The record is from RNAcentral.